CCUACGGGAGGCAGCAGUGGGGAAUAUUGCACAAUGGGGGAAACCCUGAUGCAGCGACGCCGCGUGAGUGAAGAAGUAUUUCGGUAUGUAAAGCUCUAUCAGCAGGGAAGAAAAUGACGGUACCUGAGUAAGAAGCCCCGGCGAACUACGUGCCAGCAGCCGCGGUAAUACGUAGGGGGCAAGCGUUAUCCGGAUUUACUGGGUGUAAAGGGAGCGUAGACGGUGAUGCAAGUCAGAAGUGAAAGCCCGGGGCUCCACUCCGGGACUGCUUUUGAAACUGUGUGACUGGAGUGCAGGAGAGGUAAGCGGCAUUCCUGGUGUAGCGGUGACAUGCGUAGAUAUCAGGAGGAACACCAGUGGCGACGGCGGCUUACUGGACUGUACCUGACGUUGCGGCUCGAAAGCGUGGGGAGCAAACAGGAUUAGAUACCCGAGUCGUC
This 440-nucleotide ribosomal RNA is filed under the name uncultured bacterium. RNAcentral's name for it is "partial 16S ribosomal RNA". It matches the Rfam family "Bacterial small subunit ribosomal RNA", at positions 338 to 795 of the family's 1533-position model. The record is from RNAcentral.